RNAcentral lists this ribosomal RNA (460 nucleotides) under uncultured bacterium. RNAcentral's name for it is "partial 16S ribosomal RNA". It matches the Rfam family "Bacterial small subunit ribosomal RNA", at positions 338 to 795 of the family's 1533-position model. The record is from RNAcentral.
CCUACGGGAGGCAGCAGUGAGGAAUAUUGGUCAAUGGGCGGGAGCCUGAACCAGCCAAGUCGCGUGAGGGAAGACGGUCCUAUGGAUUGUAAACCUCUUUAGGCGGGGAGCAAUGCCGGGCACGUGUGCCCGGAGGGAGAGUACCCGCAGAAUAAGCAUCGGCUAACUCCGUGCCAGCAGCCGCGGUAAUACGGAGGAGGCGAGCGUUAUCCGGAUUUGUUGGGUUAACAGGGUACGUAGGCGGAUUUUUAAGUUAGCGGUAAAAUUUCCGGGUUAACCCCGGGUCGGCCGUUGAAACUGGGGAUCUUGAGUGGGCGAGAGGUAGGCGGAAUGCGUGGUGUAGCGGUGAAAUGCGUAGAGAUCACGCAGAACACCGAUUGCGAAGGCAGCAUACCGGCGCCCGACUGACGCUGAGGCACGAAAGCGUGGGGAUCGAACAGGAUUAGAUACCCGGGUAGUC